RNAcentral lists this ribosomal RNA (480 nucleotides) under uncultured bacterium. RNAcentral describes it as "bacterial SSU rRNA". It matches the Rfam family "Bacterial small subunit ribosomal RNA", at positions 425 to 905 of the family's 1533-position model. The record is from RNAcentral.
GUAAACUUCUUUUAUCUGGGAAGAAACCUCAGUAUUCUUAUUGAGCCGACGGUACCAGAGGAAUAAGCACCGGCUAACUCCGUGCCAGCAGCCGCGGUAAUACGGAGGGUGCAAGCGUUAUCCGGAUUCACUGGGUUUAAAGGGUGUGUAGGCGGGCUAUUAAGUCAGUGGUGAAAUCUCCGGGCUCAACCCGGAAACUGCCAUUGAUACUAUUAGUCUUGAAUUCUGUUGAGGUAGGCGGAAUAUAUCAUGUAGCGGUGAAAUGCUUAGAUAUGAUAUAGAACACCGAUUGCGAAGGCAGCUUACUAAGCAGAUAUUGACGCUGAGGCACGAAAGCGUGGGGAUCAAACAGGAUUAGAUACCCUGGUAGUCCACGCCCUAAACGAUGAUUACUCGACAUACGCGAUAUUACUGUGUGUGUCUGAGCGAAAGCAUUAAGUAAUCCACCUGGGAAGUACGUCCGCAAGGAUGAAACUCAAG